GAAAGUUAAGGGUUCGAAGACGAUCAGAUACCGUCGUAGUCUUAACUAUAAAUGAUACAGACCAGAGAUAGGACACUGUCCAUCUCGACUCCUCCUGAAUCUUGGAGAAAUCAGAGUCUUUGGGUUCUGGGGGGAGUAUGGUCGCAAGGCUGAAACUUAAAGGAAUUGACGGAAGGGCACACAAAGAGUGGAACCUGCGGCUUAAUUUGACUCAACACGGGAAAACUCACCAGGUCCAGAUACACGUAUGAAAGUCAAGCUGAAAGACUUUACUCAAUGAUGUAAGUGGUGGUGCAUGGUCGUUCGUAGUUCGUGGAUUGAUUUGUCUGGUCUAUUCCGAUAACGAGCGAGACCCCAACGUUCCUAAUAGGGGUGACAGCCCGGCUCGUCGCAAGAUGGGUUAGCAGUCGCCUAAGAUUAGCUUCUUAGACGUAUCAGGGCCGAUAAGGUCCUUGAAAUGGGUUAAUAACAGGUCAGUCAUGCCCUUAGAUGUUCUGGGCCGCACGCGCGUUACAAUGGCAUGUAAAAAAAGUGCUGCAAAAGGUGUCCCCGGGGCUGAAAAGUCCUGGUAACCCUUAGUCCCUGCCUUGACUGGGACAGAUCAUUGCAAUUAUUGGUCUCAAACGAGGAAUUUUUAGUAAUCGCAGGUCAUUAACCUGCGAUGAAUGCGUCCCUGCCCUUUGUACACACCGCC
Molecule: ribosomal RNA, 694 nt
Filed under: Craterium minutum
Lineage: Eukaryota; Evosea; Eumycetozoa; Physariida; Physaraceae
Description: SSU rRNA
Rfam family: Eukaryotic small subunit ribosomal RNA
Source: RNAcentral